UCAAGUUCUUCUGGGACUAAACAAAAGGACAAUGUGCCACAUCAGCAAUUUGCUUGAAAUUGUUGGGUUUAUUUUUGCAAUGCAAACAAGGUACACAUGUUUUCUUUUGUCAUUAGAUUUUCUUCGAAUUAUAUCAUUCAGUUGAGAGGAUCCUUCAAAACUCCUUCUUAGUAUAAAAGCUAUUUUUAUCAGCCUAGCUUCCUGUCUUCCUCUUAGCUUCUCCAUUUGGUGUUUUAAGAAGAAAGUAGAGGUCUAAACCGAACAGCUCAUGCAUCUUUAGUCGGGAGAUGUUGUCACCCAGAGUCCCACAAACUGCUGAAGGUCAGUCUCUAAAAGGAGCAUGUAAGUCCCUGGACAGCAGAGAAAGAGGUUAAAAUUUCUGUCCCUCCUGUCAGUAAAGUGGCAAGUUUGUAAAUGUUUGAUUUAACAACAAAAGAAAACAACCUGUUCACAGGCAUUUUAAUUCAACCCUGAGUCACAGAGUAAACACACUGCAAGAAUAUAUAUACAGUUUGCAUCAAAUAAGCUGUAUCAGCAUUGUGGUUUGGAAGACCUACUCCUGCCAGAUGGAAGUCAGCCAUGAAUAUGAAGGUAUGGGUUUCCAGGAAACAGGACAAAGACUACACAGAUGCUAGCAUCCUGCUGCUAACGAGGGCAUGGAGCAAGAGCUGAAGAUUAAUCUGAGAGGCAAUGAAGAGAAAUACACACAGUAUAAAAGAGUUGCAUGCCAAGGAUUUCAACACUGAACUGACAUGUAUAUUAGGAGGACACCGCCCUUCCAGCCAGAAAAAUUCUCCAAGGUUAACAAGGACCUGAGAGAGAGAGAGAGACAAGAGGCCAUACCAAGCUACAUCAGGAGGUCAACAUUCACAGGGAAAUACAGCAAUGUCCUUCCCAGCUGAACACAUGACAGUCAACCCCAGAUCAGGGUCUACACAGUGACUUUGGCCUCAGUUCCUGGAUUCUCUGUAUCUCCUCAAACUAUCUGGAGAUUUUAAACAUCAUGCAUUAAGGUAAUGGAAGGACUGAAUAUAAAAAUGUGCACCCAAAAGGAAUAGGACAAGACAAAUUGGUCCCAGGAAUAACAGCAGAUGCUUUCCAAAGUCUACUGCACAGAAAUAUCCACUCGAAUCCACUGCAUCUUUACUAAUCUAAAAAUGACAAGGUCAGACAUGUAAGUGAUUCAAGACCUCUCCUUGCCUGUCCUUUACAAGGAAUGGUUACAUCAGUUGCAGCCCCCCAAAACAACAGAUUAAAUCCAGACCAACUGGUUGGUAAAAUUGGCUAAAAGAAAAGAAAAAAGCUACUGGAGGAAGACGAAAAGCAAGCAGUUUGCUGAUGCAUCAGACAGAAUCUGCAAAGGAGGUAAAUACCUACCU
Non-coding RNA from Manis javanica (Malayan pangolin), 1379 nucleotides. Lineage: Eukaryota; Metazoa; Chordata; Mammalia; Pholidota; Manidae. The record is from RefSeq and is a predicted model, not a curated record.